Molecule: long non-coding RNA, 518 nt
Filed under: Pongo abelii (Sumatran orangutan)
Lineage: Eukaryota; Metazoa; Chordata; Mammalia; Primates; Hominidae
Description: lincRNA
Source: RNAcentral
AGUAUAAAACACAGAGCAGAGUGCUUUUGGGGUUCCUCAGUUGCAGUGAGAUGUUAGGCACUUGCAGAGACUCAGUCCACUACCCUGGGCAGCUUUUCCAAGAUGUAGGGACUGGCUUGCCAUAAUUCAUAGCUUCUGCUGUCCCUUGCUACAUACCUCCUGUUUUGUUACAAACUAGGAUUGCAACAUCUGCUUAUAGGCUCAAAAUAAAGGGAUGGAGAAAAAUCGACCAAGCAAAUGGAAAACAGAAAAGAGCAACUUGCUUCCUGAAAAUUCAUGCUCCAGCUCCCUGCCACCUCCAAAUCUCCCAGUCAGCCUCUUGUUGGCACACUGAAUUACUCUGGGGCCAUAUGUUUCAGGCUUUGUAUUAAGUAUCAAAGAUCCCAUGACAAGACAGCUCCCCUGCUUGCUGGGAGGACGUGGUGAGGACAGGGUACAUCUGAAACCUCUGGUGUGUCUGGCAGAGUUGCAAACGACUAGAUUCCAUCCAAGAUCAAAUGAAUCAGAAUCUGUGGUGA